Long non-coding RNA from Solanum tuberosum (potato), 636 nucleotides. RefSeq lists it as uncharacterized. NCBI's taxonomy places the organism in Eukaryota, Viridiplantae, Streptophyta, Magnoliopsida, Solanales, Solanaceae. The transcript has 4 exons. The record is from RefSeq and is a predicted model, not a curated record.
GCUCACUUCAUAAAACAAAAUAUUUACAACACAAAAGAUAUAGGAAAGUGGAAGGGCAAAAUAGUAGCAAAAAAGAGAGUGGAACUUGUCUCAAAUUCAGGCUUACUCCUUCCGUUCUUGUUCAUCUCUCAAAUGCCAUUUUGAUUCAUCUUCAAGGGAUAGGACUGCUCAUGGCUACUGGUAAAACAACAACUUGUUGGUGUGGGUUACUGAAUUAAUAGUAAUGGAUAGAUCAUCUUCACUGUUAGCACUACAUUGAUACUCCACACUCCCGAAAAUGGGUAUCUAAAGGUUUUUCAAGACUCUGAAUCCUCGGUUGUUCACUUAUUGAGUUGGCAUCCUUCCUUUGUGUAGGAAGUUCUUGCUUCCCAAAAGUUUGUAACACCCAUUCCUUUCUAGACUUCACAUGCUUACUCGGUUGAUCAGUUAUAUCCUCAUGCUAACUUGUUGAUUCUUGAUUCUCAUCAUUGUUUGAUCUGAUUGCUUGUGGAUCAUCCAACAAAGCUGCAAACCUGUUAGUAUUUUGAAUAGAAGUAUCAACUACUUGUUUGUUGGCUUUACACCCAACCACCUUCCACGCUCUUGGAUAGCCUAUUACUUUUUCACUAGACAAGAUUUUAACUUUUCCUUUUUGAA